RNAcentral lists this long non-coding RNA (1219 nucleotides) under Bos indicus x Bos taurus (hybrid cattle). Its description in RNAcentral is "lncRNA (ENSBIXG00005027515.1)". The record is from RNAcentral. Lineage: Eukaryota; Metazoa; Chordata; Mammalia; Artiodactyla; Bovidae.
UGUGACUAUCCCACCCACUGUGCUAAGGAGCUGGGUGGGAGUAGAUAUCCUUGUAUGUGAACAACUUUGGAGCCCUCCGAAAAGGGCUCCAUCAUCGUCUUCAUCGUCUCAGAUACUCGCACCCACUUUCCAGGAGGCGAGACCGGGCUUUUACUUCGCGGCCAUCACCAACAUGCCUGCAAUCUGGUCGGAUCCCGCAGGCCAGAGUGGGACGCCCGCGACCCCACACCCAGGCUGGAGACAGGGGGAUCGGCGGGGCCAACCCGGGUGGGAGGCUUGGGAGGAUGGAGGGACCCCCCGACUGCCGCCUCCUCUCCUUCCCCGGGUGGGCGGGCGCGCGCGGGCCGGGAGCGGGGAGGCGGCGUGAGGGCAGCAGCGGCGCGGGCGGGCGGGUCCCGGGGCCGCGGAGCGCGUCGGAGCGAGUGCACAAAUGCCCGGGGCUUUCGCCGCGCUCGCCCCGCGGCCGCUCCCGCCCAGCGCCGCCCACGCUCCCGGACCCGCGAGGCGCCCGUCGGUGGCGGCCGCGGGGACCCGGGCGCGCGAGGGGAAGGGCCGCCCGCGCGUCGCCCCCGUCCGGAUCACGGCCCUGCGUGGCCUCCGAGCGCCGCCCGGACGGGGCUACCGCGAGGAGCCGCGGAGGCCGAAUACCCGGAAAGCAGGGUCCCGCGGACGCCCGCAGCCCGAGGGAAUCAUCAGAGACCAGGCGGUCCUCGCCCAGACACCCGCCCCCUGAGACUUGGAACGCGGACUCCAGAGGCAGCGCGCAAGGGGAUUGUUUGACUUUAUAACUUUCUUGCAGUUGCACUGUGCCUUAGCAGCCCUUUGGUGCUGAAGACCAAUAACUUACAGCUGCAAUUCUUCUGACACCCACUCCACCAACAAACUUCAGGUCUUUCUCAAGGUAAAUUGCUGUUUUUGUUCCAGUAUUUGUGUGUGUCAGUUAAUUAAUGUGUUUAAUUAUUUAAUGUGAUGCUAUAUUUGGUUCCUAGCUUUACUUUUUAUGUUUUUUGUCACUAACAAAUUUUCUGAGUGAUGUUUGCCAAACUCCAUGUUUCUCAUAGGCCAUGUAGUUUAUAUUGCAAGAUUUUGCAGUUUGGUGAUUUUUUUUUUUUUAGCAUUGCAUAUGUCAGAUUCUGGCAGAACUGACUAUGUGUUUACACAGGUACUUCAUAUGAUCUGAAAUAUAUAAUUUGUGGAAUAAAUGAUGUAAUUAUACCCA